CCAUUUUGAAUGAAGUGUGUUUUACGAUGAUAAAAGUACUGAUUAUUUACAUGGAGUCUGGUGGGCGCUAACUAACUUAGACAAGAAAAACUUGGGAACAGGGUCCAGGUUGAAGUUCCUCCAUCCUUUUUUGAUUUUAACGGACCAAAACGUGUGUGUGUGUGUGUGUGUGUGUGUGUGUGUGUGUGUGUGUGUGUGUGUGUGUGUGUGUGUGUGUGUUUUGAUAGUUUAUCAGCGGUUUAGCUUUACUAAAACGUUUGGGACGAAGCUGCAGUGUAGAAGUUGUUGUCGUGUUCGUAUAUCUGUGUUUAUUUCCUAGCACUAAUGUUGAAAAAGGGAACUUGUUACAGUCUGAUAUGUGACAUAGUCCUGGUGUGUGAAGCUCUGACACA
Long non-coding RNA from Sander lucioperca (pikeperch), 392 nucleotides. RefSeq lists it as uncharacterized. NCBI's taxonomy places the organism in Eukaryota, Metazoa, Chordata, Actinopteri, Perciformes, Percidae. The record is from RefSeq and is a predicted model, not a curated record. The transcript is spliced from 3 exons.